RNAcentral lists this long non-coding RNA (837 nucleotides) under Bos grunniens (domestic yak). RNAcentral's name for it is "lncRNA (ENSBGRG00000013874.1)". Lineage: Eukaryota; Metazoa; Chordata; Mammalia; Artiodactyla; Bovidae. The record is from RNAcentral.
AGUUUGAGCAUUCUUUGGCAUUGCCUUUCUUUGGGAUUGGAAUGAAAACUGACCUUUUCCAGUCCCGUGGCCACUGCUGAGUUUUCCAAAUUUGCUGGCAUACAGAGUGCAGCACUUUCACAGCAUCAUCUUUCAGGAUUUGAAAUAGCUCAAACGGAAUUCCAUCACCUCCACUAGCUUUGUUCGUAGUGAUGCUUUCUAAGGCCCACUUGACUUCACAUUCCAGGGUGUCUGGCUCUAGGUGAGUGAUCACACCAUCGUGAUUACCUGGGUCGUGAGGAUCUUUACUGAUGUGUAAUUUGCACACAGCAAACGUCCACCCGUCUCAAGUACGCUUGUGGAUGUGGAUGACUGUUGAUGAAUGUGAGACUCUGUGAGCCUUCACCCCACCAUCUCCCCGGUGAGUCCCCGGUGCUGUGGGCCUUGUUUGAAUGAUCAGUUCCUCAUUCUGUAUCGGGAUGUUUCUUUCAGUACGACCUUGAGCUGCUCAAGGACAAGCACAGACCAAGGGAUGCUCUCUGGACGAAGAUGCUCCAAGAGAAAAUGAAUACGCAGCAGAGGCAGAGGAAGACCCCCAGCCUUGGCUCUCAGCGGGACCUGGAGAGCCAGCGGAGAGAGGCAAUCUGACAGUCCAGCUCGUCUCAAUUCCCUAAGUUUCUGGAUGGCUGAGGUUUUACUACUUCGACUUCUGGAGUAGAAAAGGGGCUGAUCAAUGGCUGUUUUUAAUUUGUACCUAUUGCCUGAAGGCAAUCUGGCUUAUGGUGAAGACACACAAACAUAAAAUUAUACCUUUUUUAAAAAAAUCAAACCCAAUUGAGCGCUCAGGACAUAGCAUGA